This 2158-nucleotide long non-coding RNA is filed under the name Homo sapiens (human). Its description in RNAcentral is "non-protein coding lnc-QRSL1-2:3". The record is from RNAcentral. Lineage: Eukaryota; Metazoa; Chordata; Mammalia; Primates; Hominidae.
UAAAUGCAGACAAAAGUGCUUCUGUUGCUCAGAGAAAAGACAAAUAAUGUUCACCACUCCACUUCCUUGUUCCUUCACACCUGCUACUUUGGAUUCAGACGAGAAGUUCCAAGAAUCCCUGAGUCCACAGCAUGACUCUGGUUUGCAGAACCUCUGUCCAGACCAGCCAGAUCAGAAUACAAAGGAAAGUGACACAUCCUGGAUCUCAACCCACUUCGAUGGGAAGUCUUCCUGAUAAAUUUAGAGAUAACCUAAAGCCCUUGGGGACUUCCUCUUGAUUUGAAUCUGCUGAACACCUGCCGCACCCCCACCGCACCCCCCCCCCCCGCCCCCCGCCACCGCAGAUGAAAACAUCAACUCUGCAGAAUUAAUGGAUAUGGGAAUCACCUGGGGACCUCUCAUUAAAUUGCAAAUUAUGAUUCAGAGGGUCUGGGGAGGGACAGAGACUCUGCAUUUCUAACAAGCUCUCCGGUGGUGCCCACGCAUCACCGGGGCCGGAGAACCUUCCAUCAUUCCAGCAAUGCUCACCAUCACUGCCAUUCUUGCUCUUCUUUCUGGGGCCGUUGCCCAUUUUCUCCAUGGUAUCCUUCUUUUUUCCUAUUCUUUUCCUCUUUUAAUCCUUUUUUUCUUCCCAGCCAACUCACUAUUCCUAUAUCCCUGCUAACCCUCAAUGCUCCUUCACUCAAAGAUGAAGAAACUCCUGCCCUUUCUUCCUCCAGACAUUCAUCUCCCUCCCUCCCUCCUCUCCUCAGCUUUGUAGUGCCAGGAAAAGAAAGAUCACCAUUUACUGACAAUUUUGUGUGAAGCACUGUCCCAAGUGCAUUACCCAUAUUACUUAACUCUCACAACAACCCUGCAAAGUACACAUUAUUUCUGCCAUUUUAGACAUGAGAAAAUUGGGACUUGGGGUGGUUAAAGAAAUCUUGUCCUCAACCAGGAAGUAGUGAUCUGAGAUUAGAAUUUAGAUCUGUCUGAGGCCAAAGUCUACAACUUCUAUACUGCACCAUGCUCAUAUAAGGUGAACAAUCUAGAAGGCAGCUGGUAGGAGUGGCUUCAGUAAAAAGGAAUGGAAUACCACGAGCUUCACCCCAUUUAUGCAUCCUGAACCCUUCACUCCACUUUUGUUAAGUACAUGCCCUAUGAGACGGUUUGACAUACCAAUAAUGAGAGCUGUUUCAAGAAUGCCCAGAUUAGCUAGGAUGGUUGGGACCUAAAUAGCACAGUAGUAAUAUUAAAGCCCAAAGUUGCCAAUAUGCUCAAUUUUCAAUGUAACCUUUUAUUAUAAAUUAAGACCCAUAACUGUACACACAGAGUCUGUUACCAAAAAAGAAAUUCCUUCCAUUGGCCAAUUAUUCAACCACAUGAAGUCUACUAAAGGAUGAUGCCAAGCCACCCAUCAGUCCACACAGGAUCCAUCAUGGAUGGAUAGCCAGUUCCUUUUUCUCUCUCUAGUUUCUCUUCCUUGAUUCCACCUCUAGGAUCCCCUCGCUCUCUUAUUGUCCUUUGCCUUGUCCUCAAGAUCCUACCAAGAGUCCUGGCUUCCCACCUGGGAGCAUGUACCAGUUCUCCAAACCUUUGUGUGUUUCUGAUUCCUCAGACUACCGCAUCUACAAACUAGGAAACUGUACUCUUGCUUAUACUGGCCCUCUCCCUCCCUUGACUUUUAUUAGAUACAUCAAAACAAAACAAAAAACUCCUUUUAAAUUCUGUUAAAGAUCCUGCAAGGUAUGAAGGGAGGAGAAAAGGCAGGGGCUGGGUAUGAGGAAAAGUCCAUCUUGACAUACAAAAAUGUUAAAAGUCUAUAUACUCAAAGGAGAAGUGAAGAGUCAGACUUUUACAUGUGGAACAGACAGGAAAACUGGGAGCAAUAUGGUGUAGUCAUCAGAUGUGGGUUCUAAAUUCAUCUCAGCUACCAACCAGCAGUGCAACCUUGGAUAAGCUGUGUAUUUUUCUCAAUACCAGUUUCUUCAUCUUUAAAGUGUGGAGAUUGGAUUGAACAAUUACUAAGAUUCCUUUGUUCUCUACUCUGCAGUGUCAUCUCUAGCACCUAAAAUAAAAUAAACCAGAAAUUAAUGAAAGAGUGAAAAUAAUAUUGCUCUAACCAGAAACUGAGAUACUUGAUUGAGUAAAUGCAUGAAAACAAGAAGGUAAAGAAACC